This 301-nucleotide ribosomal RNA is filed under the name uncultured bacterium. RNAcentral describes it as "partial 16S ribosomal RNA". It matches the Rfam family "Bacterial small subunit ribosomal RNA", at positions 509 to 809 of the family's 1533-position model. The record is from RNAcentral.
CAUCAGCCACGGUAAUACAGAGGGUGCGAGCGUUAAUCGGAUUUACUGGGCGUAAAGCGUGCGUAGGCGGCUUCUUAAGUCGGAUGUGAAAUCCCUGAGCUUAACUUAGGAAUUGCAUUCGAUACUGGGAAGCUAGAGUAUGGGAGAGGAUGGUAGAAUUCCAGGUGUAGCGGUGAAAUGCGUAGAGAUCUGGAGGAAUACCGAUGGCGAAGGCAGCCAUCUGGCCUAAUACUGACGCUGAGGUACGAAAGCAUGGGGAGCAAACAGGAUUAGAUACCCCAGUAGUCCCUGUCUCUUAUAA